AACAGACACAAAUGGACAAGGAGAUCAUUUAAUGUUACUAAAAGUAAAUCUUUUGAAAGGAUUAGUGGCGAUGCCCUUUUGUAGAGUUCUCUGGGUUAUGGAGAUGGCUCCCAUUUCCUAGAAAAGCUUUAAAGCUUCUUGACAACAGGGACCCGUCUGGACUCCCCAGACACAAUUCACUCUGGAGCCCGACCGUCUACAGAUCCUCCUAUGCCAACUGUACAUGAACAACCCAACCUCGAGUUGAUGUACACCAAAACAGAAUACCCUCUAAGAGUCUGAGGGAACAGCUGCCUGCUUCCCAGUGCCGCUCACCUGAGGGACUGGCUCUCCAUGUCUCCAAAAAGCAUUGCUCAAGAUCUUAAGGACACUACUGACUAUACUUCAAUUAUUUAUAUAGGAAAAACUAGGAAAAAACUCUUUGCCACACGUCAUAAACAAAGGGUUAGUUUUCUUUUUUCUUUUCUUUUUUGUUUUGUUUUGUUUUGGUUUUGGUUUUUUUGUUUUUCAGACAGGUUUCACUGUGUUAUAGCUCUGGCUGUCCUGGAACUCACUCUGUAGACCAGGCUAGUCUCGAACUCAUAGAGCGCUACCUGCCUCUGUUUCCCAAGAGCUGGGAUUAAAAGCAUGUGCCACCACCAACACCUGGCUAAAGGUUAGUUUUCUUAAUGGAUGAUAUGAAUGAAAAAUGGGCUAAGAAUUUGAAUAGGCAGUUGAGAGAAAAAAAGAACAUAUGAAAUGAUGCUUACAUUGAUGACCUACAACAAGAUACUUCCCAGUACCUGGUGAGAAAGAUUAAAAAAUCACAAAUGUGAGGCCGGAGAGAUGGCUCAGCAGUUAGAGCAUAUAGUGCUUUUGCAGAGGACCUGAGAAUUCUGUUGCCAGUGCCAAUAUCAGGUGGCUCAAAACUGCCUAUAACUCCUGCUCCAUAGAGAGCCAGUGCUUUUACCCUCCACAGGCACCUGCAUUCAUGUGCACAUGCACACAUACACAGAUAUAUGCACAUAUACAUAACUAAAACUCACUGACCUAACAACCUCUUCCGGCCUCCAUGGGCACUGGCAUGUACAUGUGCCUACUAACAAUGCAGACAUACACAAACACAUGAAAAUAUAAAUAAAUCUUUGUUUUUAAAAUCACAAUGGUAGAGGCUAGAGGGAUGGCUCAGCAUUUGGGAGUACUGGCUGCUCUUCCAGAGGACCCAGCACCCAUAUGGCAGCUCAUGGCUGUCUGUGGCUCCAGUUCCAGGGGAUCUGACACCCUCACAGAUAUAUAUGCAGGCAAAACACCAAUGCAAUGAAAUGAAAAUAAAUAAAGCAUUUUAAAAAAAAAUCACAAUGGGCCAGGUGGUAGUGGCACACGCCUUUAAUCCCAUCAGGCAGAUCUCUGUGAGUUCGAGUUCCAGGACAGGCUACAAAGCUACAGAGAAACCCUGUCUCGAAAAAAAAAAAAAAAAGCUGGGGGGGGGGGGGGCGCGUGGCAGCAGUUAAGAGCACUGUCAGCUCUUCCAGAGAUCUGAGUUCAAUUCCCAGCAACCACAUGGUGGCUCACAACCAUCUAUAAUGGGAUCUGAUGCCCUUUUCUGGCAUGCAGGUGCACAUGCAGAGAGAGCACCAUAAACAUAAAACUAACUAAAUUAAUUAAUUAAUUAAAUUAAAACAAAUCCCAAUGGUGGUUAACAUGGCGUUGAAAAGGAGACACAGAAAUAGAUAUUCUGCCAGUGAUGGUGACACGUGCCUGUAAUCCUAGCACUUGGGAGGUGGAAUCCUGGCAUCUAGACAGAAGGAUCAGAGAUUCAACAUCACCCCAAACUAGCUCAAGGCCAGCUGGGGCUGCAUGAGAUCAUGUCUCAAAAAAAAAAAAUCAUAACCAUGAGGGGCUAGCUGGAGAAAUGGGUUGACAGUUAAGAGCACUUCUUGCUCUUUCAGAGGACUGAAGUUUGGGUUUCAGCACCCAUGGGCAGCUCAUAACCACCUGAAAGUCCGGCUCCAGGGCAUCUGAGAAAUUCUUCUAGCCUCCACAGGCACUGGCAUGCCCAUGUGCCUACUAAUAAUGGAGACACACAUACAUACACAUAAAGAAACAUAAAAUAAAGAGUGCUUGCAAAUACUAAGCAGCACUAACCAUCUCCAAGUUUCCAAAGUGAAAAACACAAGAUGUAAAACAUGGGUUGUAGGUAUGGCACAUGGUGGAGCCCAUGUGGGCAUGUUAGUACACACUAGGCCCUGGAUUCAACCAGCAUGACAAAGAUGGGGGGUUAACUGUUUACUAGAAAUUUUUGAAAAUAUAUAUCCUUGUAUGUUUUCCAUGCAUAUUAAUUGUUCAAGAGGGUCUAAAAACAGUUGUCCUCAAAGAGCAGGAACUUGGUGGCUGAAGAGUAGGGGGUUAUUGAGCUGAAGAGACGGCUCAGGGGCUGAGAGAGCUUGAGCUUGCUGCCCAAUCAUGAGGGCAGAAUUCAUAUCCUAGCACACACACUGGACACCUUACAGUGUCCUAUAACUCCCACUCUAAGGGAUCCAAUGUUUCUCUCUGUGGGCUUCUGCAUAUGUGCACAGUCAUGUAGACACAUAAAUGCAGAUACACACAAACUCACACAUACAUUAAAAAAUAAAUUUUACAUUUUUUUUUUGAGCUGGGUAGUGUUGGUACACACCUUUGAUCCCAGCACUUGAGAGGCAGAGGCAGGUGGAUCCCUGAGAGUUUGAGAUCAGCCUGGUCUACAGAGGGAGUUCCAGGACAGCCAAGACUACACAGAGAAACCCUGUCUUGAAAAACAAAACAAAACAAAGUUUUAAACAUUUAUUUAUUUCUAUCUUAUGUGCAUUGGUGUUUUGCCUGCGUGUAUGUCUGUGUGAGGAUGUCAGAUCCUGAGGGUGUCAGACUUACAGACAUUUGUGAGUUGCCACGUGGGUGCUGGGAAUAAAUUGAACCUUGGUCCUCUGGAAAGCAGUCAGUGCUCUUAACUGCUGAGCCAUCUCUCCAGUCCCAUACAUUUUUUUUUAAAAAAAUGUAAAGAUUUAUCUAUUGUAUUUCACAUAUAUGAGUGUUUCGACUGCAUAUAUAUAUAUACACACCUAGUGUGUGCCUGGUUCCAUGAAGGUAAGAAGAGGGCAUCAGACCCUGGGGACUGGAGUUAUAGAUGGCUGUGAAUCAGUAUGUGGGUGCCAGGAAUUGAAUCCAGCUUCUCUGAAAGAGUAACAAGUGCUCUUAACCUCUGAGCUCUCUCCAAGCCCCUGAAAAUGUUUUAUUGUUUUAUUUUAAUUAUGUGUAUGUGUUUGUUGGUACUCAUGGGACUCAAACUCAGGUCCUCUGCAAAAGCAGUACAGGCUCUUAACCACUGAGUUAAUUCCAGCCUCGAUCUAAAAAUGUUUUAAACAGUGGUGGCUGCGACUUCUUAUUAGUAUACAUUUCACAUUUCUCCCAUACUUCCUCACGGGCCACUGAUUGCCAUCUACCACGAGCUUCCUAAGGUUUUUGUUUGUUUGUUUUAAUUGGAGCUACAUGUGCACAUAGAGGACUUCCUGGAAAAUAGCUCCAAGCUUCUUACCCACAGCCUGGCACAUCAGAACCACCAGGCUCAGCAAGACCCUCGACACCUUACCUGACCUCAUCUAUCACCACAAGUCACCCAGUGAUACCCAGAUCCUUCUCAUCUAUGCACCCACCCACUGGAUCCCAUGUGCCCUGCCUGUCAUCAUUGAAAUCUGCCACAUGGAACCCGGUAUAGUCGUGCAUGCCGUUAGUCCCAGCACUUGGGAGGCAGAGGCAGGCAUGAGGCCAGCCUGGUUUACAGGGAGUUCCAGGACAGCCAUAGCUACAUUGUGAGGCUCUUGUUUUUUGUUUUGUUUUAUUAUUUUUUUAAAUUUAUUUAUUUAUCUUUAUUUCACAUACAUUGGUGUUUUAGCCAUGGGUGAUAGGUCCCAGGAAUUGGAGUUACAGACAGUUGUGAGCUGCCAUGUGGGUGCUGGGAAUUGAACCAGGGUCCUCUGGAAGAGAAGUCCGUGCUCUUAACCACUGAGCCAUCUCUCCAGCCUCCGAGACUCUUGUUUAGGAAAAAAAAAUUCCAUAUGGAUCAUUCCUUGACUCCUUAACACCAAUGACAAAUCCAAUGACUGUGUCACUUUCUUUCUUUCCUUUUUAAAGCAGGUCUAGAAUUGAACCUUGAGCAUCAUGCACGUGAGGCAAGCACUCACUGAUGGGCUUCUGGAAUCAGACUCAGGUCACCAAGCCUGGACCACUGAAUCCUUCUGAACAUGGCUCUCUACAGCAUUCCAUUGUAAAGCAUUUGCCACUGAACACACCGCAUUCUGUGUUUAUUUCCUCUACGACCUACUUCCUCUUCUGUUCAUGUACUGAAAAUAUUCACAGGCCUGAACUGUCCUCAGCCUUCUCUUUGCCCUGGAUACCUUUACACAGCUGACCUCCGAUGCUGCAGAGGCCUAAAGACAAAUGUGCCAGAACUCCCAGGUCCCUGGCCCCAUCUCUGCCGUAUCCAGACUUGUAGAUCCAGCUCCCAACUAGCCAACAGGAAGACUGAGCAAAUCGAGGGAGGAUGUGUGCCCUAGAGCACCAGGAAGGACAUGUAGAAGCCUUGUAAAGAAGUGUGCCACAGAGCACCAGGAAGUGUGUGGAGAGGCCCAGGGAAGAAGUGUGCCACAGAGCACCAGGAAAGAUGUGGACGAGACUAUGGAGGAAGAAAACAGAGGACCAAUUCCCCACCCAGGCUGCAUCUACUGGCAUCUUCAAGAGCUGCCUGUUGCAGGGUCUUAGGAACAAGGUUGAGGACAGACUGCAUGUUAGUGCACUUCUGCCCUACAGGUCAGAUGAAGGGUCCCUGUGUUCUUUACCCACAGACACCCAUACCACACCUUCUGUGAUGAGGACAGAGGUACAGACAAAGGUAUAGGGACAAAGACAGAGACAAAGAAAAGGACACAAAGUAGAUGUCUAUCUGUUCUCUCACUGCCUUAUUUAUGGUUCUACUGCUGUGAGGAGACAUCAUGACCAAGGCAGCUUAUUAAAGGAAGCAUUGAAUGGAGGGCUUUCAGGAGCUUCAGUGGGUGAGUCCUCGCUCUUCAUGGUGAGGAGCUUGUGGGCAGGCAGGCAUGGUGCUGGGACAAUAACUGAGAGCUUACAUCUGACCCACAAUCAGCUAACAGAGAGCGAGAGACUGGACCUGGUGUGGGCUUUGAAACCUCAAAGUUCACCCCCAGUGACAUACCUCUUCCAACAAGGCCUGUGUUGGAAAUGUUUAUACCAACUUGACACAAGCUAGGGUCAUCGGAGAGGAGGGAACCUCAAUUGAGAAAAAGCCUCCAUAAGAUCACUGUAGACAAGCCAGGAGGGCAUUUUCUUAAUUAGUGAUUGAUAGGUGAGGGCCAAGCCCAUUGUGGGUGGGGCCACUCCUGGGCUGUUUUAUAAGAAAGCAGGCUGAGCACGCCAUGGGGAGCAAGCCAGUAAGCAGCACCCUUCAUGGCCUCUGCAUCAGCUCCUGUCUCCAGGUUCCUGCCCUGUUUAAGUUCCUGUUCCUGUUCAAUGAUGAGCAGUGAUGUGGAAAUGUAAGCCAAAUAAACCCUUUCCUCCCCAA
Peromyscus californicus insignis is the source of this 5587-nucleotide long non-coding RNA. RefSeq lists it as uncharacterized. The transcript is spliced from 2 exons. The record is from RefSeq and is a predicted model, not a curated record. Lineage: Eukaryota; Metazoa; Chordata; Mammalia; Rodentia; Cricetidae.